This 45-nucleotide non-coding RNA is filed under the name Schistosoma mattheei. The record is from RNAcentral. Lineage: Eukaryota; Metazoa; Platyhelminthes; Trematoda; Strigeidida; Schistosomatidae.
AUCCACUUGACGAGUCCCAAAUAGGAUGAAACACGCGUCCUGCAU